UGCCGCGUGCAGGAUGAAGGCCUUCGGGUUGUAAACUGCUUUUGUACGGAACGAAAAGACUCCUUCUAAUAAAGGGGGUCCAUGACGGUACCGUAAGAAUAAGCACCGGCUAACUACGUGCCAGCAGCCGCGGUAAUACGUAGGGUGCGAGCGUUAAUCGGAAUUACUGGGCGUAAAGCGUGCGCAGGCGGUUAUGUAAGACAGAUGUGAAAUCCCCGGGCUCAACCUGGGAACUGCAUUUGUGACUGCAUAGCUAGAGUACGGUAGAGGGGGAUGGAAUUCCGCGUGUAGCAGUGAAAUGCGUAGAUAUGCGGAGGAACACCGAUGGCGAAGGCAAUCCCCUGGACCUGUACUGACGCUCAUGCACGAAAGCGUGGGGAGCAAACAGGAUUAGAUACCCUGGUAGUCCACGCCCUAAACGAUGUCAACUGGUUGUUGGGUCUUCACUGACUCAGUAACGAAGCUAA
RNAcentral lists this ribosomal RNA (467 nucleotides) under Acidovorax sp. Its description in RNAcentral is "bacterial SSU rRNA". It matches the Rfam family "Bacterial small subunit ribosomal RNA", at positions 395 to 855 of the family's 1533-position model. Lineage: Bacteria; Pseudomonadati; Pseudomonadota; Betaproteobacteria; Burkholderiales; Comamonadaceae. The record is from RNAcentral.